Molecule: long non-coding RNA, 435 nt
Filed under: Brassica napus (rape)
Lineage: Eukaryota; Viridiplantae; Streptophyta; Magnoliopsida; Brassicales; Brassicaceae
Description: long non-coding RNA (BNAP_LNC023325)
Source: RNAcentral
GGGGCGGAUCUACUUUAAGGUAAGAAUGGGGCACUUGCCCCCCAUGAAAGUUUAAAUGAUUAGUAUAUAUUUCAGUUGUCCCAUUCAAAAAUACUUUCUGCCACCCUAACAAAAUCUGUUCUCAAAGCUCAGUUCAGAAUCUCUAUUAUUUCCAAUUUUUUACAAGGCCAUUUAUUAUAUUUCUUUUAGCAUUAUUAUGUUUCCAUAUUUGAUUUGCGAACAUUAAACCAAUGUUUCCGUUUUAUAUAAAUAAAAUCAAUUUUUUUUUUGUUUUUUUAACUUGAUAAAAUCAACUUGUUGCUUAAAAUAAGUAUUUUUAUAACAGAAAAUAAAUAUCUAUUUAUUUAAUAUGUUAUAACAACUAGUUUUCUUUACUUUAUCGUAAUACAUGCAAUGACAAUAAAAAAUAUUAUUUUCAUUUUACUUUUUCAUAUA